AGCAGUAGCCGCGGUAAUACGUAGGUCCCGAGCGUUGUCCGGAUUUAUUGGGCGUAAAGCGAGCGCAGGCGGUUAGAUAAGUCUGAAGUUAAAGGCUGUGGCUUAACCAUAGUACGCUUUGGAAACUGUUUAACUUGAGUGCAAGAGGGGAGAGUGGAAUUCCAUGUGUAGCGGUGAAAUGCGUAGAUAUAUGGAGGAACACCGGUGGCGAAAGCGGCUCUCUGGCUUGUAACUGACGCUGAGGCUCGAAAGCGUGGGGCGCAAACAGGAUUAGAUACCCCAGUAGUCCCUGUCUCUUAUACA
RNAcentral lists this ribosomal RNA (303 nucleotides) under uncultured bacterium. RNAcentral's name for it is "partial 16S ribosomal RNA". It matches the Rfam family "Bacterial small subunit ribosomal RNA", at positions 507 to 808 of the family's 1533-position model. The record is from RNAcentral.